CACUGCUUCUCAACCAAUAGAAAGACUGCCCUUCCUCCGGGUGACAUUGCAAUGGCAGCGCGGGUUCUGCUGAAGCUUUGGGCGCCCGUGUGCUGGAAUAAUACCCGGAGGAACAGCGGCCAGGCGGCGGGGUACUGUGUGGAGUUGGUCAGAAAGCGUGACUAUGAAGGCUUUUUGUGCACGCUGUUAUUACCUCAAGAAUCUCAGAACUCCGUGUUUGCCCUUCGAGCGUUUAAUGUAGAAUUGUCUCAGGUGAAGGACUCUGUCUCCCAGAAGAACCUUGGUUUGAUUCGGAUGCAGUUCUGGAGGGAUACAGUUCAGGAUAUAUACAAAGAUAAUCCCCCACAUCAUCCAGUCGCCCUAGCACUGUCCCAGGCAGUCCAAAAGCACCAGCUGACCAAAAGAUGGCUCACAAGGAUGAUUGAUGCAAGAGAACAGAACCUGGAUGAUAGAACGUAUCGGAAUAUUCAAGAUCUUGAAGCAUAUGCUGAGAACACACACAGCUCCCUGCUGUAUCUUAUUCUGGAGACUCUUGGUAUAAAAGAUGUCCAUGCAGACCAUGCGGCCAGCCACAUUGGAAAAGCUAACGGCAUUAUCACCUGCUUGAGAGCGGUACCCUAUAACAGCAGCCGACGUCAGGUCUUUCUUCCCAUUGAUAUCUGCAUGCUGCACGGGGUUUCACAGGAGGAUUUCAUCAGAGGCAGCCUGGAGAAAAAUGUCAGAGAUGUCAUAUUUGAUAUAGCCGGCCAAGCCCAUGUUCACCUAGAACACCUUAACAUCAUAGAAUCUUCUAUGAAAAGGCAAUUGAAACUCAACUGUAAUUGGACCUUUCAACAUGACAAUGACCCUACACAUUCCAAUAAUGAAUGGCUGAAAAUAUUAAAUGGAGGGUUUUGGAAUGACCAAGUCAAAGACUGGUAGACCAUUAUAAGAUAUACCUACUUGAGAUUGUUUUUGCCUAAGGGGCAAUACCAGGUAUAAGAGGCUCGGUCUUUUAAGAAAAGAGUUCAGAAAUCAGCCUUCCCUGCUUUUAAUAUCACAGUCGCCCUGGAUUGGCACUUAAAAACCCUUCGAAAGGCUGACUUCAAUAUAUUCCAUCCAAGCGUACAGAGGAGAAAUACCUUGCUUCCAUUAUCUUUGUAUGCUCGAUCAUGGAAACAAUCCUACUGAAAUAAAUGCAAAGUAUUUAAUUUUUAAAAA
RNA transcript from Xenopus laevis (African clawed frog), 1200 nucleotides. It is a transcript of the gene named NADH:ubiquinone oxidoreductase complex assembly factor 6 L homeolog, with no coding region annotated. The record is from RefSeq and is a predicted model, not a curated record. The transcript has 10 exons. Lineage: Eukaryota; Metazoa; Chordata; Amphibia; Anura; Pipidae.